RNAcentral lists this ribosomal RNA (223 nucleotides) under uncultured Streptococcaceae bacterium. RNAcentral describes it as "partial 16S ribosomal RNA". It matches the Rfam family "Bacterial small subunit ribosomal RNA", at positions 116 to 334 of the family's 1533-position model. Lineage: Bacteria; Bacillati; Bacillota; Bacilli; Lactobacillales; Streptococcaceae. The record is from RNAcentral.
CGUAGGUAACCUGCCUGGUAGCGGGGGAUAACUAUUGGAAACGAUAGCUAAUACCGCAUAACAGUAGAUAUUGCAUGAUAUCUGCUUGAAAGGGGCAAUUGCUCCACUACCAGAUGGACCUGCGUUGUAUUAGCUAGUUGGUGAGGUAACGGCUCACCAAGGCGACGAUACAUAGCCGACCUGAGAGGGUGAUCGGCCACACUGGGACUGAGACACGGCCCAG